Molecule: unclassified non-coding RNA, 376 nt
Filed under: uncultured bacterium
Lineage: Bacteria
Description: contains 16S-23S intergenic spacer region
Source: RNAcentral
UCCUCUUUACAGAGGCAGUUUGUUCCGAGUCCCCGGCAUUACUCGCUGGUAACAGAACAUGAGGGUUGCGCUCGUUGCGGGACUUAACCCAACAUUUCACAACACGAGCUGACGACAGCCAUGCACCACCUGUGUAUCACCCUCGAAGGCGACUACUUUUCGGUAGCUUGCAGAUACAUGUCAAGGGCAGGUAAGGUUCUUCGCGUUGCGUCGAAUUAGACCACAUGCUCCGCUGCUUGUGCGGGUCCCCGUCAAUUCCUUUGAGUUUUAGCCUUGCGGCCGUACUCCCCAGGCGGAGUGCUUAAUGCGUUAGCUUCGGCACGGAGGGAGUCGACACCCCCCACACCUAGCGCCCAACGUUUACGGCGUGGACUAC